Molecule: ribosomal RNA, 225 nt
Filed under: uncultured bacterium
Lineage: Bacteria
Description: partial 16S ribosomal RNA
Rfam family: Bacterial small subunit ribosomal RNA
Source: RNAcentral
AUUGGGCGUAGAGAGCUCGUGGGCGGUUUAGUAAGUCGGGUGUGAAAACUCAGGGCUUAACCCUGAGACGCCACUCGAUACUGCUAUGACUUGAGUACGGUAGGGGAGUGGGGAAUUCCUGGUGUAGCGGUGAAAUGCGCAGAUAUCAGGAGGAACACCAGUGGCGAAGGCGCCACUCUGGGCCGUAACUGACGCUGAGGAGCGAAAGCGUGGGUAGCAAACAGG